RNAcentral lists this ribosomal RNA (250 nucleotides) under uncultured bacterium. RNAcentral's name for it is "partial 16S ribosomal RNA". It matches the Rfam family "Bacterial small subunit ribosomal RNA", at positions 524 to 773 of the family's 1533-position model. The record is from RNAcentral.
UACGGAGGGUGCAAGCGUUGUUCGGAAUUACUGGGCGUAAAGCGUGCGUAGGCGGUUUGAUAAGUUGGGAGUGAAAUCCCGGGGCUUAACCUCGGAAUUGCUCUCAAAACUGUCGAACUAGAGUAUGGUAGAGGAGAGUGGAAUUCUUAGUGUAGGGGUGAAAUCCGUAGAUAUUAAGAGGAACACCAGAGGCGAAGGCGACUCUCUGGGCCACUACUGACGCUAAGGCACGAAAGCGUGGGGAGCGAAC